GGAGGGUGCAAGCGUUAUCCGGAUUCACUGGGUUUAAAGGGUGCGUAGGUGGGUUGGUAAGUCAGUGGUGAAAUCCCCGAGCUUAACUUGGGAACUGCCAUUGAUACUAUCAGUCUUGAAUACCGUGGAGGUCAGCGGAAUAUGUCAUGUAGCGGUGAAAUGCUUAGAUAUGACAUAGAACACCAAUUGCGAAGGCAGCUGGCUACUCGGAUAUUGACACUGAGGCACGAAAGCGUGGGGAUCAAACAGGAUUAGAUACCCUGGUAGUCCACGCCCUAAACUAUGGAUACUCGACAUUUGCGAUACACAGCAAGUGUCUGAGCGAAAGCAUUAAGUAUCCCACCUGGGAAGUACGAUCGCAAGAUUG
This 367-nucleotide ribosomal RNA is filed under the name uncultured bacterium. RNAcentral's name for it is "bacterial SSU rRNA". It matches the Rfam family "Bacterial small subunit ribosomal RNA", at positions 527 to 896 of the family's 1533-position model. The record is from RNAcentral.